RNAcentral lists this ribosomal RNA (440 nucleotides) under uncultured bacterium. Its description in RNAcentral is "partial 16S ribosomal RNA". It matches the Rfam family "Bacterial small subunit ribosomal RNA", at positions 338 to 795 of the family's 1533-position model. The record is from RNAcentral.
CCUACGGGCGGCAGCAGUGGGGAAUAUUGCACAAUGGGGGAAACCCUGAUGCAGCGACGCCGCGUGAGCGAUGAAGUAUUUCGGUAUGUAAAGCUCUAUCAGCAGGGAAGAAAAUGACGGUACCUGACUAAGAAGCCCCGGCUAACUACGUGCCAGCAGCCGCGGUAAUACGUAGGGGGCAAGCGUUAUCCGGAUUUACUGGGUGUAAAGGGGGCGUAGGCGGUCCUGCAAGCCAGAUGUGAAAGCCCGGGGCUCAACCCCGGGACUGCAUUUGGAACUGUAAGGCUAGAGUAUCGGAGAGGCAGGCGGAAUUCCUAGUGUAGCGGUGAAAUGCGUAGAUAUUAGGAGGAACACCAGUGGCGAAGGCGGCCUGCUGGACGAUGACUGACGUUGAGGCUCGAAAGCGUGGGGAGCAAACAGGAUUAGAUACCCCAGUAGUC